Molecule: long non-coding RNA, 2295 nt
Organism: Engraulis encrasicolus (European anchovy)
Lineage: Eukaryota; Metazoa; Chordata; Actinopteri; Clupeiformes; Engraulidae
Exons: 3
Source: RefSeq, a predicted model, not a curated record
AGAGAUCAGUAUCAUUAUUAAGAAAUGAAUGUCACACCACUCACCAAUAUAUUUCGUGAUCCACAAACAAAUGUAAUAACAUUCGCAAAUAUAAUUCAUACAUUUCAUGAUCCACAAACAAAUGUAACAACAUUCACAAAUAUAAUUCAUGAUGCACAAAUGAAUGUAACCCCAUUCACAAAUGCCAGCGCAGUUCUAUUAAUUUGCAAACCGGUCUACAUAUAUUCGCAAGCCCUAUACAUAUUUGUGACUUCCAUUGUAUUUGUGUGUGGAUUUUUGAGACUGUCCUGACGGUAUUUGACACACAAAUGUGCUCAGCCAAUCACAUCAGCCGGCGUUCGAGCGUAAGGUUGAAGACAUUGCGCUUCUAUUACGCAGAGCAGGCUACUAGUGCGAAGCCACCAUAGAUCUGUAUAAAUAACUGGAAGUAGAGCCAUUACUGAAGUGCUCCCUGACGUAAACUCGGAAGCUUAUGAAGUUACUGACUUUCACAUCAUCUUUGUACAAAUAUGUCUGGAUCUGGACUAACGUGUGCCGUAAUCGGAUGUAACAAUAACAGCAGAAAGCUAAAAAUGUGGAAAAAGAGCGUAUGUGCGCUUCAUAGUCCACAGUUUAAAGAGGAUUGUCCAUGUUGUGUGCCCUACGGUGUACACCGCUUCCCCGGCCGUGCUGAGGAUGAAGACAUUCGCAAGAUGUGGAUUAAAAACGUACACCGAAAGGACUUUGCCCCCAAACAAGUAUUCAAGGGUGUGUGCGGAGUACACUUCCCUGACGGCAGACCAACGCAGGAACACCCAUAUCCCAUAAUAUGGGAUAUGAAUAUAGUAAAGCACCGUCAUGUGGAAGACCACCCCAAAGAGGAGAUGUCUCCAGCCCCCAACAGAGAGACCAUGUGAUGAGCCUCCUGUGACAGAUUCUGACACCGAAGUAGGGCAUAGCUUGGAGGAUAGUCUGUCUCCACACCAAUGUGAUGUUGGCACUCAGUGGCCAGAGCGUAGUGAUCAUGAUUGUUGUUCGAUGAAGUCAACAAAAGAUGCAAGCACACAAACCGAUCCUACACCAUCACUGUCAGAUCAUGACAUGGAUGAUAAAGUGUCAAAACUUUACACUGGACUAGACAUCAUCAGCUUUUGGCAACUUUUGAACACCAUCAUUGGCUUUCUUCCACAGUCGAAGACGUUCAAAUUACCAGUCCAUGAACAGCUAAGUGCUGGUCCUAAUGAGGCUUCGGCUUGGCUACAGCCUGUGAUAUGUCCGCAAUGUGGAGAGCAACACUUGCCAAUUUCACAAGGGAAAAUCUUAUUUUUUGGCUCCCUCGAGACACUCUGAAUAGAGUAAGACCCUCAAGUUUUCUUGAACACUAUCCCAAUGCAACAUGCAUCAUAGAUUGCACUGAAAUAUUUGUCCAAAGACCGAAGAACUUGGGGAAAAGAGCAAAAACAUACAGCAACUAUAAGCAUCACAACACCUACAAAGUCCUCUAUUGCAUAGCCCCCAAUGGUUUUGUGAUGUAUGUGUCAAAACUGUUUGGUGGCAGAGCUAGUGACACUUUUAUCUUAAACUGUGGAUUUCUGGUGAUCAGAUUUUGACAGACCGGGGAUUCACAAUUGGAGAUGUUCUUCCUCCAGGAGUGACAUUGGCUAUUCCAGCAUUUACACGUGGAUGUACACAACUAUCAGAACAUGAAGUCACAAGAACCCGCCGUCUCGCCAAUGUCCGAAUUCAUGUUGAACGUGCAAUAAGAAGGUUAAAAUGCUUCAAAAUUUUGAGUAAUGUAAUUCCAGGUUGAUUAAAACAUGUUGAUGACAUUUUGACUAUUUGUGCAGGCCUGUGUAACCUUCUUGAAAUCUUACAAACAUGUUUGGCAUACACUACACUUGUCCCUGUCUGUAGGCCUACAUGUCAGCAUCAUCUUCCAACUUGUCAGCGAUACUAUGCCCAAGAUAUUUUGUACUGCUUGACACACAGUGAUUGCCCUGACAGGUAAAACGUUGGAAAGACUUAAGAUCCUGAACAUAACACUUUUUUGCAUUGUACUGUAGGCCUACAUCAAACUCAACCCCAUACUCAGAGCACACAUUCAGAAGUUGCUGAAACUCAACAGCGCUGGGGGACAUGGGCCUAAUAGCCAGAUCAUCAAAUGGUUGAAAACAGUGCAUGUGUUUUAUUGUCUGUGUCUAAAUCUCGUCAUACAUCCAGUGCGUUUUGUUUUUUUUAACAGACGUGUUUUCACAAUGACACUCUGAGAAUUUACUUUUGAACAAAGUGUCUUGUGUAUAAAAUGGUGUGCAGACA